GUCGUCCUGCACACCUCGUAAUUGUACACGUGUUGGAGAGUCCCUGUCCCCAAAGUGUCUGAGUAACGUGGUGGAUAAUAUGGAAUCACAGGGAGAUUGGAGUGAUACAGGAUGCGAGACUGUCUCCAUCUGUAGAUUUUCACUGAUAUAAUAACCACUAAACACGUGAUGAAGAGGAAGGAAACUACAGCCAGAGCCAAAACUAAGUAAAAAGUCAGGUUGUCAUUGUACUCCUUGUCCUGGGUAAAGUCAGUGAACUCCGACAGAACUUCAGGGAAGCUGUCCG
Long non-coding RNA from Lates calcarifer (barramundi perch), 286 nucleotides. RefSeq lists it as uncharacterized. The record is from RefSeq and is a predicted model, not a curated record. NCBI's taxonomy places the organism in Eukaryota, Metazoa, Chordata, Actinopteri, Centropomidae. The transcript is spliced from 3 exons.